GCGUCCGUAGCUCAGUUGGUUAGAGCACCACCUUGACAUGGUGGGGGUCGGUGGUUCGAGUCCACUCGGACAGA
Molecule: transfer RNA, 74 nt
Filed under: Yersinia ruckeri
Lineage: Bacteria; Pseudomonadati; Pseudomonadota; Gammaproteobacteria; Enterobacterales; Yersiniaceae
Description: tRNA-Val
Rfam family: tRNA
About the family: Transfer RNA (tRNA) molecules are approximately 80 nucleotides in length. Their secondary structure includes four short double-helical elements and three loops (D, anti-codon, and T loops).
Source: RNAcentral